GCUAAGUGGCGCAGCGGAAGCGCGCCGGGCUCAUAACCCGGAGGACCUCUGAUGUGGGAUUCAACACCUCUUCCA
This is a non-coding RNA of Lojkania enalia, 75 nucleotides long. Lineage: Eukaryota; Fungi; Ascomycota; Dothideomycetes; Pleosporales. The record is from the annotation of a GenBank genome assembly.